Long non-coding RNA from Lolium rigidum, 3155 nucleotides. RefSeq lists it as uncharacterized. The record is from RefSeq and is a predicted model, not a curated record. The transcript has 3 exons. NCBI's taxonomy places the organism in Eukaryota, Viridiplantae, Streptophyta, Magnoliopsida, Poales, Poaceae.
GUUCUAUUCUCCUUUUUUUUUUGCCUAUGAAUGCUUGAACAUUGUAUCUUUAGGUGCUGUUACGAUGAUAUAUGGGCAUAAAAGUCUAAUCUCCAGCAUUGAUUCGCUCUUUAAGGGUGAUAAUAUAACACUUAAACUUGCAUAUCACCGAUAUGACCACUCCUCAAAUGGCCUUCAAUACAUUUUCCAGCACUGGAAUAUCUCCUCAUUUGUACUGAUGCUGGUCCUGAUUCAGAUUUAUAGUUACAAAACAUGUGGGUGAUAGUAUAACACUUAAACUUGCAUAUCACCGAUUUGCCCACCCCAGAAAUGGCCUUCAAUACAGCUUCAGCACUGGAAUAUCUCGUCAUUUGUACUGAUGCUGGUCCUGAUUCAGGUUUAUAGUUACAAAAAGAUGUGUACACUGUACAACUUGAAUUAGUUCUGAUGUGUACACUUCACAACUUGAAUUAAUUCUAAUAUCAUUAGUGCAUUUAGAUUUUAAACUACUCAAGUCUGUCAUUAUUCCUCAUAAAUUGAGUUGCUUAAUCACACUGUUUCCUAUGCAGAUCUCAUGUUCGUCGCCCACCUUUGUUAUCCAUAAAGAAACUAAGAAAAGUUGUUCUGUAGCAUAAAUGAAACAUUUGAGGUUUGUCAUUUCAAGCAUCAGACCAGGCUUUAAUAUAUUAUAUAAUAUAUAUAGGAUAAACCUGAGUAGUGCAAAGGAUUCACAGAGGAAGUGCAAAUAUUAUUUUGGGAGAGAAUGGACAAAAUCACUGGUUAGAAAGACAAGAUUUCAUUAACAACUUAAGGUCUAGAGAGGCCUCAGGCUCUGCUCAUCACUCUCUCGCUCUCAGUAUUUACAUUUCACUACAUUAUGUACAGUCACCCCACGGUUGCCAGGCGCCCAAAUUUGCCUGCACCACCAACAGAUCCAAUCUCAUCCUUGCACCUGCCAGCAGCACCCAUAUCCACUCUGCCGCCACCACUGCCACCUCCACCACCACGACUCUUUCCUUUGCGUGGACUUGCACACUUCCUGCAGAUGAACUUAUCAGGAACUUCUUGAAAAUCGCUGAUCCCUGAGCACCUGGUGUGCUGCCAGACUCCACACACAUCACAUGCCAUCAUCCUCUCACCGUCAUCGUCCUUGGCACCGCAUGUACAGUCCACCGUCCAGUUCUCCAAACCCCUCUCCAUCCUGAACUGUACAAUUCUCCGGUGAUCCCCAGUGCACCGUCCUCUCACCCUUACAAGCUGGCUUGAGCCAAGCACAUGCUUCACAGGUGUUGUGUCACUUAAGUUUAGGAAGUCAGGGAGCUGUUCAGCCUGGAAGCUAUGGAACAUGAGGUACGUUUCUUGAAAGACCUUUGCAGCCUGGAUUUUCAGUUGACCGAGGGUAGCACUUUCUGGUAAAAUUAGAAGUUCCAUCGGUGGUGCAGUGUAGUCCUUUGGAUGAUCAAGCAGUUCAAUGGAGCAACUCACAGAAAGCAGGUUUGGGUUGAAAAGAGCUUCUGGAGCACUCUCAUCAUAGUGUUUGAUGAACUGCUUGCAGUCCAGGAUUUUUGCAGCUGCAUUGUGUGAUGAUGCAACCACCACCUCUGGUUGUGAAGACAGCAUCGUUUCAGGGUUCAGCAGAGCAUCAUAGAGGAAUCGAAGAUCGUGUACUAAAUGCUCGACAGAGGGCCCAAACACAGUUCUGUCUACUGGGGACUGAUUGGAGUAUGUUUCCAGCCUGCUUGCCAUGAAAUACAAGUCAAGAGGAUUGCCUAAUGAAGUUCUGCGAAGUGGAGCAACAUACUGGAAAAAAGGUUUACCUGUAUUCAAUUGCACUCGUCUCAGCAUUGCAGCGGACAGCAAUGAAAUGGCCAUCAUCCAUCAGUUUUCCUCGCAAUCCUCGGAGGGAAUAAUCCAGCAGCUCCUGUGAAUCAACAGCCUUGGAUGCAGCUCCCCUGAGUGCACGCCAAGACACCCAGCGUCCUGUCUCGACAGCACGGAGAAUCUUGAGCAUUGCAGCUUCGGCUCGAUCGACAUCUUCUUUGUUCCACAUGCAGAGCACAUUGGAUUCAACUACUCCAUCCAUCACUGGUUUUGACAUCUCAGCAUCCUUACGGGCUUGAUGAAGCAGGUGCAUUAUGAACCGGAAGAGGUCCCUCACAGUCACAAGCUGUCGAUCGGAUAGGGCCCAAUACAGAGCAAUCGUGUUCUGUAAUGGGGUCCUGAUGGUGUUGCGAUGUGAGAAGUACAGCGCCAGGUGUAUGCCAGAGAGCACAUCAACUGCCUGUUGGUAGGUGUCUGAGGUAUGUGCAAAGCUACCAGCGCCAAACUUAUAUCCCCAUUCACCGUACCACGGAUGACCACUUGUGAUGGCAUGCAGAAGCCUGUAGUCCAUUCCAUGCUUCUUGGAUAUGUCCAUGACAGUGACCUUCCUGCAAGUUGGCAAAUGGCAUUCUUAGUGUUGUGGCUGGAUGGUUUUUGAAUGAUGGUAAAGGUUCAUGUCACGCUAACUGCACCACUGUGUACCAACAGUAAAGCCGUUUACCUCACAUGCAGCACAUUGCAGAGGCGAUCCCAGAAGCUCAUUAUGUCACGGCCAGUAAGAAGCCUUGACCCUCCUUCACGGCCAUUUACCCUGAGAAGAUGUCCAUAGCCGUUUGCGUGAACAACUGCAUGCAGCAAGUGUGAGGAAUCAUCCAGAUGCAGGUAUCCGCACUCUUCCAGCUCCUCGCCUUCCAUGUCAAAGUUGCACAAGAGGCACCUGGAGAAGAAAUUGCAGCCAUGGUCAGGAUACGUCGUAGCAUCAUCGAGCAGAAGAAUAAUUACAUCCACAGCACACGGAAUAGGUGGUCGGAACAGAUUGUACAACCGAACUGCAAAUCGAAAGCAUGAACUGGAACAGGUUGGGGAGCUUUGCAUGACGGGAAAUCAACUGAGCAUGCGAUUCAUUUCUUCGGUGGUAUCUCCAUAUGUUACUACGGUUACACAGAAAGUAGUGUAUGAUUGUUCUGUCCAGAAAUUAACAAUGCUGGUUGCUCCCACCUUGAUUCUGCAGCGGCCAUGGGAGUCCCGCAGCGGAGGCAGCAGGUGCGUCGACGGCCAGCCAUCUGGAUGCUGUCGUUCUCGAUGAUGAAGUGGUACCGCUUCCCGCACACCGGGUGGCCGCUCCAUCCUGCAAC